Molecule: ribosomal RNA, 250 nt
Filed under: uncultured bacterium
Lineage: Bacteria
Description: partial 16S ribosomal RNA
Rfam family: Bacterial small subunit ribosomal RNA
Source: RNAcentral
UACAGAGGGUGCAAGCGUUAAUCGGAAUUACUGGGCGUAAAGCGUGCGUAGUCGGUUAUCUAAGUCGGGUGUGAAAUCCCCGGGCUCAACCUGGGAAUUGCAUUCGAUACUGGAUAGCUAGAGUUCGGCAGAGGGAAGCGGAAUUUCCGGUGUAGCGGUGAAAUGCGUAGAUAUCGGAAGGAACAUCAGUGGCGAAAGCGGCUUCCUGGACCAGAACUGACGAUCAGGCACGAAAGCGUGGGGAGCAAAC